UGAAUGUCUACUGGUCAAGGCUUUAUAAU
RNAcentral lists this non-coding RNA (29 nucleotides) under Rattus norvegicus (Norway rat). Lineage: Eukaryota; Metazoa; Chordata; Mammalia; Rodentia; Muridae. The record is from RNAcentral.